UUGUUGGCUGUGAUUCUUUACUGCUUUUUCCAGGUCAGAACCACAGUGUUGUGCUAUAAUCUCUGUCUGCUCUUCAUUUUCUAUUUCUGUAGAUUAAUAUGAAAGAUUCUUCACUUGAUUGUUCUGGAGACUGUUGAUUAUCGCUUUGCUCUGUCUUUAGGCUGGGACUGGUCCAUGUGUUGAAUAAGGUGAUAUAUGCAUUUAAAAUUCCCUUUGAAGCCUAGAAUCAUGAUUGUCUUUAUUUGCCUCAGGUUCUCAAUCCACUUUUCUUCAGCCUUUUUCCUCUGAACUUAGCAGAAUCAGGACCCCAGAGUCAAAUUUUACAAUGAUGUUAGUUUCCAAAAUAUGCCUCUUUUUCAUUCUUUCAGCUGAUACUGUUUUCUCAGAGUUACAUGGCGGGUGUCACAAAUAUGUCUGAAUAGAUAUAUUCAGAUAGAUUUCUUCCUUCUGCUCAUCAUCACUGCUUUUCUGUCAAGCAUCUUCUGGGAGAGUAUCGUCACCCCAUUUAAGUGUGGAGGAUGGAAACAAAAUAUUUUGGCGUGGAAAACUCUGA
Molecule: long non-coding RNA, 553 nt
Filed under: Bos taurus (domestic cattle)
Lineage: Eukaryota; Metazoa; Chordata; Mammalia; Artiodactyla; Bovidae
Description: long non-coding RNA NONBTAT010771
Source: RNAcentral